AUGCUGUAGACCCGAAACCGGGUGACCUAUCCAUGUGCAGGUUGAAGCGAGAGUAAAAUCUCGUGGAGGACCGAACCCAUAUACGUUGAAAAGUGUUGGGAUGACGUGUGGAUAGCGGUGAAAUUCCAAUCGAACUCGGAUAUAGCUGGUUCUCCUCGAAAUAGCUUUAGGGCUAGCCUCAUAGUAAGAUACGCAGGGGUAGAGCACUGAAUGUUCUAGGGGCCUUCACCGGUUACCGAAAACUAUCAAACUCCGAAUACUGCGCAAUCAUCUAUGGGAGUCAGACUAUGAGAGAUAAGUUCCAUGGUCGAAAGGGAAACAGCCCAGACCUACAGCUAAGGUCCCAAAAUGUAAGUUAAGUGGAAAAGGAUGUGGAGCUGCAUAAACAGCUAGGAUGUUGGCUUAGAAGCAGCCAUUCAUUUAAAGAGUGCGUAACAGCUCACUAGUCGAGUGGCUCUGCGCCGAAGAUAAACGGGGCUAAAACUUACUACCGAAGCUUAGGAUACCUUUUGGUAUGGUAGAGGAGCAUCGUAUAAGAGUCGAAGGUGAACUGUAAGGUAAGCUGGAUUUUAUACGAGAGAGAAUGUUGGCAUGAGUAGCGAGAGGCAGGUGAGAAUCCUGCCCACCGAAAAUCUAAGGUUUCCUGAGGAAGGUUCGUCCACUCAGGGUUAGUCGGGACCUAAGCCGAGGACGAGAGUCGUAGGCGAUGGACAACUGGUUGAGAUUCCAGUACCACCGAAAGUCGUUUGAGUGAAGUGGGGACACAGAAGGAUAGACAGAGCACGCCGUUGGUAGAGCGUGUCCAAGCAGUGAGGCUUGUGCGUAGGCAAAUCCGCGCAUUUUAAGGCUAGGCUGUGAUGGGGAGGGAAAAAAGUACCGGAAGCUGUUGAUUUCACACUGUCAAGAAAAGCCGCUAGCGAGACCGUAGGUGCCCGUACCGCAAACCGACACAGGUAGAUGAGGAGAGAAUCCUAAGGUGAGCGAGAGAACUAUUGUUAAGGAACUCGGCAAAAUUACCCCGUAACUUCGGGAGAAGGGGUGCCAUCGAAAGAUGGCCGCAGUGAAAAGGCCCAGGCGACUGUUUAGCAAAAACACAGGUCUCUGCGAAAGCGAAAGCUGAAGUAUAGGGGCUGACGCCUGCCCGGUGCUGGAAGGUUAAGGGGACUGGUUAGAGCAAUCGAAGGCAUGAACUUAAGCCCCAGUAAACGGCGGCCGUAACUAUAACGGUCCUAAGGUAGCGAAAUUCCUUGUCAGGUAAGUUCUGACCCGCACGAAAGGCGUAACGAUCUGGGC
Molecule: ribosomal RNA, 1293 nt
Filed under: human gut metagenome
Description: bacterial LSU rRNA
Rfam family: Bacterial large subunit ribosomal RNA
Source: RNAcentral